UGGGGAAUAUUGCACAAUGGGCGAAAGCCUGAUGCAGCAACGCCGCGUGAGUGAUGAAGGCCUUCGGGUUGUAAAGCUCUGUCUUUUGGGACGAUAAUGACGGUACCAAAGGAGGAAGCCACGGCUAACUACGUGCCAGCAGCCGCGGUAAUACGUAGGUGGCAAGCGUUGUCCGGAUUUUACUGGGCGUAAAGGAUGCGUAGGCGGGAUUUUUAAGUGAGAUGUGAAAAACCCCUAAGCUUAACUUGGGGGACUGCAUUUCAUACUGGAAAUCUAGAGUGCGGGAGAGGGAGAAUGGAAUUCCUAGUGUAGCGGUGAAAUGCGUAGAGAUUAGGAAGAACACCAGUGGCCGAAGGGCGAUUCUCUGGACCGUAACUGACGCUGAGGCAUGAAAGCGUGGGUAGCAAACAGGAUUAGAUACCCCUGGUAGUCCACGCCGUAAACGAUGAGUACUAGGUGUAGGGAGGGUAUCGACCCCCUUCUGUGCCGCAGUUAACACAAUAAGUACUCCGCCUGGGGAAGUACGAUCGCAAGA
This 535-nucleotide ribosomal RNA is filed under the name uncultured bacterium. RNAcentral describes it as "partial 16S ribosomal RNA". It matches the Rfam family "Bacterial small subunit ribosomal RNA", at positions 355 to 893 of the family's 1533-position model. The record is from RNAcentral.